Molecule: ribosomal RNA, 922 nt
Filed under: uncultured fungus
Lineage: Eukaryota; Fungi
Description: eukaryotic LSU rRNA
Rfam family: Eukaryotic large subunit ribosomal RNA (bases 273-922)
Source: RNAcentral
AUCGAUGAAGAACGCAGCGAAAUGCGAUAAGUAAUGUGAAUUGCAGAAUUCAGUGAAUCAUCGAAUCUUUGAACGCACAUUGCGCCCCUUGGUAUUCCGAGGGGCAUGCCUGUUCGAGCGUCAUUAUAACCAAUCCAGCCUGCUGGGUCUUGGGCUUCGCCGGUCGGCGGGCCUCAAAGUCAGUGGCGGCACGGCCGGGCUCUAAGCGUAGUAAUACUCCUCGCUAUAGGGUCCCGGGCGCGGCUUGCCAGCAACCCCCCACUUCUUAAGGUUGACCUCGGAUCAGGUAGGGAUACCCGCUGAACUUAAGCAUAUCAAUAAGCGGAGGAAAAGAAACCAACAGGGAUUACCUCAGUAACGGCGAGUGAAGCGGUAACAGCUCAAAUUUGAAAUCUGGCUCUUUUAGGGUCCGAGUUGUAAUUUGUAGAAGAUGCUUUGGGUGUGGCUCCGGUCUAAGUUCCUUGGAACAGGACGUCAUAGAGGGUGAGAAUCCCGUAUGUGAUCGGUGGCCUUCGCCCGUGUAAAGCUCUUUCGACGAGUCGAGUUGUUUGGGAAUGCAGCUCAAAAUGGGUGGUAAAUUUCAUCUAAAGCUAAAUAUUGGCCAGAGACCGAUAGCGCACAAGUAGAGUGAUCGAAAGAUGAAAAGCACUUUGGAAAGAGAGUUAAACAGUACGUGAAAUUGUUGAAAGGGAAGCGCUUGCAACUAGACUCGCACGCCGUCGAUCAUCCGGGGUUCUCCCCGGUGCACUCGGCGGUGUUCGGGCCAGCAUCAGUUUGGGUGGUGGGAUAAAGGCCUUGGGAAUGUAGCUCCUCUCGGGGAGUGUUAUAGCCCUCGGUGCAAUGCCGCCUACCCGGACUGAGGACCGCGCUUCGGCUAGGAUGCUGGCGUAAUAGUUGUAAGCGACCCGUCUUGAAACACGGA